UAAUACGUAGGUGGCAAGCGUUGUCCGGAAUUAUUGGGCGUAAAGAGCAUGUAGGCGGUCCUUUAAGUCUGGAGUGAAAAUGCGGGGCUCAACCCCGUAUGGCUUUGGAUACUGGGGGACUUGAGUGCAGGAGAGGAAAGGGGAAUUCCCAGUGUAGCGGUGAAAUGCGUAGAUAUUGGGAGGAACACCAGUGGCGAAGGCGCCUUUCUGGACUGUGUCUGACGCUGAGAUGCGAAAGCCAGGGUAGCGAACGGGAUUAGAUACCCCGGUAGUCCUGGCCGUAAACGAUGGGUACUAGGUGUAGGAGGUAUCGACCCCUCCUGUGCCGGAGUUAACGCAAUAAGUACCCCGCCUGGGGAGUACGUCGGCAACGAUGAAACUCAAAGGAAUUGACGGGGCCCGCACAAGCGGUGGAGUAUGUGGUUUAAUUCGACGCAACGCGAAGAACCUUACCAAGGCUUGACAUUGAUUGACCGCUCUAGAGAUAGAGCUUUCCCUUCGGGGACAUGAAAACAGGUGGUGCAUGG
This 527-nucleotide ribosomal RNA is filed under the name uncultured Phascolarctobacterium sp. RNAcentral's name for it is "bacterial SSU rRNA". It matches the Rfam family "Bacterial small subunit ribosomal RNA", at positions 521 to 1048 of the family's 1533-position model. Lineage: Bacteria; Bacillati; Bacillota; Negativicutes; Acidaminococcales; Acidaminococcaceae. The record is from RNAcentral.